Brassica rapa (field mustard) is the source of this 3818-nucleotide long non-coding RNA. RefSeq lists it as uncharacterized. The record is from RefSeq and is a predicted model, not a curated record. NCBI's taxonomy places the organism in Eukaryota, Viridiplantae, Streptophyta, Magnoliopsida, Brassicales, Brassicaceae.
GGUUGCUUUUGGGCCCAGCCCAUCUAUAAACUUAUAAGGCCUGAUCCAGAUUUAUUAACCAUAGUUUUGAACUGUAUCUUUAAGGGGAAAAAAAAAGGGUGUGGUUUAAAAUUUUACCCGAUAUUAACUAAACGAGACGUUGUUCCAUUCGGUUAGAUGAUGAUGUAGGAUGAGAAUAUGAAAGUACAAAUUGGUAGCUUGGGAGUUGAGAUUCUAACACGAAGUUGGAUUUGAUGAAUUGGAUGAUAACCAUUAUAUAUUAGUGUGCUUGUAUAUUUAUAGUGAUUCACGAUGAAUACAAAAUGUGCUGACGAUGAAGAAGUUCUCUUUACUCGUAAAGAUGAGGUUGUUCAGAGUGAAAACAAUAUACAUUGAUGUGUUGGGACAAAUAUCUUUUUGUUUGUGUUUAUGCUUUCUUACAACAAGACUCGGUGUGUAUAUAUGCUUGUGAUUUUGUCAACUAUGAACUUAAUUUUUGAAGAUUUGCUUCUUUGCUGAUCAGAUGCGAGAAGGGAAUAUUGAAAUUAAGUUUAACAUGUUUGAAUAUAACAUAACUGCUAUUGUUAAAAAAAAAAAACAUAACUGCUAAAGCUUAGUAUUCGGUUCGACAAAUCUAAAACAAAGUAAUAACUGAACUCAUAAAAACUAGUAUACACCAUUUGACAUCCCUAAUUGUAUACUAGUUAAGAAAAUCCAACGCUACUAAUUAAGGAAAUUAAGUCUUGCAGAUUUGAAAAUCAGAUGGAUCAAUCACCUUGAAGAAAAAAUCUCCUCGGUCACACUAAUUGUCAAUUGAUGCAGAAAAAUAAAGAAGAUAUGGUGGUGUAAGUACGCAUGAGUUCAUUGAAGGACAUCGUGUAUCUAAACCAAUUUUCUGAUCAAAUGUAUAUACUAAUAUACAAUUAGUUUAUUUAAAAUGCAAUGAAAGCCUUCAAUAUCAUCCCAAGAACAAUUUUUCUUCCAUUCAACUUAGCAUGUCACGACAUAUAUAGCUGAUAAGGUGUUCUUCACAACGUUACUGGUUACUAAUUGGAAAUGUAAAUUGAGUUAUUAAACAUCUAGUAAUAGAUCCAUAUCUCACAAACGUUACAAACCAGUUAGAAUCAGAUGGUUUAUUCUUUCUACAGUUCCAGUUCUUGCUUGAUGAGUUAAUGAGUUACCUAUUUCAUGAUGUUGCAACGUCUUCAUAUCUUUCUAGUCGCAUAAAAAUGAUUUUUUUUACUUGCGUUUCAAAACUACAGUUUUGUUUUGGUUAAAAGAAACUAAAGGUGAACCUUUAACUGCCUUAGAUAAAUAGCUAACUCAUUUAAGCUAAGUUAUUCCUCACCUUACGAUUCGAAAACAAGCUUGAAUGAUCUUAUAUUCAUAGUUUAUAACUUCUUCUCCUCAAUGCAGAAACUUUGUUAAACAUGCAGAAAACUAAAGGCAAAUAUCAAGAAUCUUGAAAAUAACCGAAGCUUGUAUGAAACUGAACAUUGUGAAUAUCCGGCCCCGAUAUACAAAGUCAACCACGUGUGGGCUUGGGAGCUUUAUAAAUUAAUUAUUUUAGGAGCCCAGCCCAAGUCAUUUUUGUAUAUUUCUUAUCACACUGCUAAAAAGGGGAUUUCCUCUCCCCUUAAGCAUGCCACGUCAUUUUAUUUAAUCGACCAAUCAGAGCUUUUUAAUUUCGGAUUGGGCUUCGGAUUUGAUUUUAUGGACUUCGUUUCAAUUACAGGUUAUGAGUAUUUUUGUUUUGCCGUACAAUUUUUUUUUUCCUAAACCUAGCUCUCUACGAGAGGAAGUCGCGAGACUGCGAGGCUCUUCUCCUCAUCCCAAUUCACUUCGUCUUCUCACCUUCAAACCCUAGACCAAUCAGCUCCACUUCUCCGAUUUGAAGGCUGGUCGUUUGGAUGACAGAGUUGUCACAAGUCUUCUUCGUUUUUGGGAGGCUAGGAACGUUAAGAAAUCUGGUGAGCUUAUGAGUGUGGAUUUCAUGCUCCUCAAUGAGAAGUGCCGUCGACAUUCCAAGAUUACGGGGAAGAAAGUCACAGUUGGUCUUAUCUCUGCAACCCCUCUGAACGCAACACUACUCUUUCCAACGGCGGCGUUAAAACCUAGAUUGCUCUUUUUUAGGCUGCAACCUCAUACUUGGUGUGAGGCGGGAAGCUCGCAAGGUGUGAAGCGUGAAAGUGAGACUGAAACUGAAACGGAUGCCUGACUCAGAGAACCGGCUAGCUUCUCUUUGAUUUUUUUUUCUAUCAUAUAUAUGGCUUAACAAUCUUAUGCUUUUCGAAAAGGUUUGGAGAAAAUCCAUGGUUAGUAGUUCCGGUCACUGGUGAGGUAACAAUGGUGUAGAAACUCUCGAGAGUUCUUUUGUGGGUUCAAAAAGAAAACAUGGCAAUGGUGGUGAAACACAUUUCAAUGAGCUUAGCAAUGGAGACACUGGGGUAUCAUCAUCCGUAACUUUAAACCAUUGAUUUUCCUCUGUACGUUUAACUAUUUAUGCCACAAAUAUUUUGGGUUCAUGUAUCUGUUAAUGUCUUAUGCAGAAAACAGCUAUGGUUUCAAGAGGAGAGUUGACUUUUCAAAAUAUUUACGGUGCAGAGGCAUUGCUGAAUGCAGAAGAUGAGGACGGCUAUAGUGAUUGGGAACCUCUGCAGCAGAAGAUGCCAGUUGAGUUUGUGAAAUGGUGUUGCUUCAAUUGCACUAUGGCAAAUCCUGGUGAUAUGGUUCAUUGUUAUGUAUAUUUUGCUUACUUUUUCAUGUUUGAAUAAUUUUGUUUCUGAUCUUAUCAUUACCAGCGUCUGCAAUUACUUGGCUGAGGCAUGGAUAUUUUGCAUCUCUGUUAUUUAAAAGACACUGGUCUCUCACCGAAGUCGAAGAGAAAUGUGGAGGAAAUUCAUCUGCAGCUAGCUCAACAGCUGUUGGUUUUGAGGAGAUAAUGUUGCUGCACUCAGAAGUAUGAUUUUGUACCUGUUAUAGUUUCAUGAGAUAUCUGUUGACGUCAAUACAAUUUAUUUACCUCCAAAGCUUUUCUUCGUGCAAUUAUUUCGCAAGAGCUCCAGAUGGUGAGCUGCUACUUAAUUGUCUUAGAGACAUAUCUAACUGCGCGUAGUUUGUUUAUUUCCUUACUUUUGCAAACAAGUCACUAACUGAUUUUUUUCUUUCAAUUUAAGGUCUACACUUUAGAGCAUGUUAAUUUCACAAGCCAGCUUCUCUAUAGGUUUGAAUUUACCUGCAACGUUCCAGGGGUCAUCAUGCAAAACAUGAUUUGCUUGUGUUAUUUUGUCUUUCACUGCUCAUAAUUUCCUAUUGUUUGCCAGCUACUUCACCGCCGACACAUACUAAUAAGUAUUGAGCACCUGCUGCUAAUCUAGCAGCAGGUUUGUGUGCUGAUCUAGCUAAGGAAAUUUCCUCAUGAUAAAAUGUUAAUCAGCCGGGAACUUAGAAGCUCAUUAUGAUUAAGCUUAGGUCAGAUUGGUAAGUUGCUCAAAUGUGAUGUGCCGAGGUUAAAUGUCUUUAAACUUGCAACUAAAGGUAUAUUCACACAGCAGUUUUGGUGAGCCUGACAUGAACUGCUCGACAAGUUCGACAAAGUAUGGGGGUGUUCAGAAAAUUUAAACUAUGACGGUCUCUGAGCUAAACGCUUAUGUCCUCCAUUGUCAACCGCAUGUGCAUUCCGUUCCUGGUCCAUUCUGCUAAAUGUUAUCACAACAAUAUACAUAUUACACACAUGUAAUAUUACGUCUACAUCUUCAGUUGAUUAUUUUGUUCUGGUACUUAUCUUUUACCAGCUUAAACUUUAACGGUUUCGAUAGAUAAAUGUUUGGUUUAUCUCA